UCGAGAAUCUUCGGCAAUGGGCGCAAGCCUGACCGAGCGACGCCGCGUGGAGGACGAAGGCCCUCGGGUUGUAAACUCCUGUCGAGGGGGAGGAAGCCGCAAGGUUGACCGAUCCCUGGAGGAAGCACGGGCUAAGUUCGUGCCAGCAGCCGCGGUAAGACGAACCGUGCGAACGUUAUUCGGAAUCACUGGGCUUAAAGCGCGUGUAGGCGGGCCGCCGCGUCGGCUGCUGAAAUCCCCCGGCUCAACCGGGGAAGGGGCACCGAUACGAGCGGCCUGGAGGGGGGUAGGGGGGUCUGGAACUUCCGGUGGAGCGGUGAAAUGCGUUGAGAUCGGAAGGAACGCCCGUGGCGAAAGCGAGGCCCUGGACCCUUACUGACGCUGAGACGCGAAAGCCAGGGGAGCGAACGGGAUUAGAUACCCCCGUAGUCC
This 432-nucleotide ribosomal RNA is filed under the name uncultured bacterium. RNAcentral's name for it is "bacterial SSU rRNA". It matches the Rfam family "Bacterial small subunit ribosomal RNA", at positions 355 to 796 of the family's 1533-position model. The record is from RNAcentral.